GCAAACUUGGUCAUUUAGAGGAAGUAAAAGUCGUAACAAGGUUUCCGUAGGUGAACCUGCGGAAGGAUCAUUAACGUAUCUCUGGCGGUGAGGGAGGCGCCCCGCUCCGGCCCCAGCGGCCGUGAGGCGGGUGUCCCCGAGCCUUGCCAACCCCUUUGCAAACCCACCGUGCACUCAUGUCGGCAAAGGCCCUCCCGUGUCGGGGCGGGCCCUAGCCGGAUCACAAACCCCAAGUGAAAGAAUGACAAGCGGACAGUGUGCCGCCUAAAAGCUUAGAACAACUUUCAACAACGGAUCUCUUGGCUCUCGCAUCGAUGAAGAACGCAGC
This 328-nucleotide unclassified non-coding RNA is filed under the name uncultured fungus. RNAcentral's name for it is "partial contains small subunit ribosomal RNA, internal transcribed spacer 1, and 5.8S ribosomal RNA". The stretch from base 1 to 73 matches the Rfam family "Eukaryotic small subunit ribosomal RNA", at positions 1759 to 1831 of the family's 1831-position model. Lineage: Eukaryota; Fungi. The record is from RNAcentral.